CACCCUCAGGAUUCCAGGAAACGUCAGUAGUUUCGUUUCGUGCUGCUUUGGUAUCUGUGGACAACAAACAAACCGUGAGCUCUCCCUGGCCAACAACCACGACAGCCUACUCACUCUGUAAUUGAUCGUUUAAACCAACGUUCCUGUGGAUACGUUUGAGAGCGCCGAACAAUAUUUCUGUUUAGAUGUCUCCCAACUCGCGCUCCCUCGGGACCCAGGCGUUGUAGUCAGCGUUGUACCAGUCUGCGGCGGCAAUGGCAGUGGCGCAGAUAACAGCCGCGGAUCCUGCAGCCCGUCGCCUUGGCUCUGUCGUGGAAUCCCGUCUCUCACCGCUAUUUAUAUACCACAGAGAUGCCGCACUGCGGGACGAUGAAACUGCGCCGCUACGCUGGAGAAGGCCAGCGUGAAACCUACCUGGUCCAGGUACAGCUGGCGACACGGUUCGGAGUCCAGGUCCAGGUUGCACUCGCCUUGAAGGGCAAGACUAUAUUUUAGCUCACACACAGCCCAUUUCUUCAGUACCAUUUUGACACCUCAGGUUGCCAGAUAUGAAACAAAUUGGCAAGCAAACAGCAUGCUACAGCCAUGGAAGCAAGCAAAGGAAUUGGAUCAAUAGCGAUAAAGUUAGAUUCUACUCAGCCUUAAAAGCCUCGGCAUCCCUCUUAAAACCUCCAUGACCAGAGACGUGGUAAAACACGAGUAAAUAUUGGCCAUUGUGCCAUCAGUAGCCAUACCAGAAAAAAAGGAACACUAUAAAUGAGUGUCAACAUUCAUUGUUCUCUAAAUACACUGUACAUUUUGCUCAGCUCUUACAGGUAUUUCACCUACAGAAGCUUUGCAAAAUUAUGUUGGUGCUUUCUGGGGCGGAGAAUAAGGGUGGUACUGCCCUCCUGCAUCGUGCUAUGGAUACGGAAAGAGUUCCCUGACGCUCAAGGAAGCAUUUGAAAAUCCCUCCUAUGUGGAAAGAGAAAGAAAGGCCAGUGCAUAAAGGGAAGAAAGGUGUCCAAGUGAAGUAGGGGAAAGAAAAGGAGGACACCGUUAAACAUUUAAUUAAACAUACAAACCACUCAUCAUCAGAAGAGUACCAAUGUUUAUACCUUGUCUGUGUGGAACUAGACAUGGGUUCAGUUACAGUAUGUGAAAUGCAGAAAAUGGCCCAUGCUGCCGGUAGGCUACCUUAGGACAGGCUAUUUAUGUUUUGCCAGAAAUAUGACUUUGAUUAAUGACGGCAGACCAUAGGUGUUUGACCUAGAUUUAGUCUGUCGUCAUCAUUUUUACUGACAGGCUAAUUUUGAAGUCGUUAUUUAUUAUGGUUAUGAAUAUGAAUCAUG
This is a long non-coding RNA of Clupea harengus (Atlantic herring), 1331 nucleotides long. NCBI's taxonomy places the organism in Eukaryota, Metazoa, Chordata, Actinopteri, Clupeiformes, Clupeidae. The record is from Ensembl.